Molecule: unclassified non-coding RNA, 242 nt
Filed under: uncultured Helotiales
Lineage: Eukaryota; Fungi; Ascomycota; Leotiomycetes; Helotiales
Description: sequence contains ITS2
Rfam family: 5.8S ribosomal RNA (bases 1-52)
Source: RNAcentral
AACGCACAUUGCGCCCUCUGGUAUUCCGGGGGGCAUGCCUGUUCGAGCGUCAUUAUAACCACUCAAGCCCUCGCUUGGUAUUGGGGUUCGCGGUUUCGCGGCUCCUAAAAUCAGUGGCGGUGCCUAUCGGCUCUACGCGUAGUAAUACUCCUCGCGAUUGAGUCCGGUAGGUCUACUUGCCAGCAACCCCUAAUUUUUUUAAGGUUGACCUCGGAUCAGGUAGGGAUACCCGCUGAACUUAA